UACAGAGGUCCCAAGCGUUGUUCGGAUUCAUUGGGCGUAAAGGGUGCGUAGGUGGCGCUGUAAGUCGGGUGUGAAAUUUCGGAGCUUAACUCCGAAACUGCAUUCGAUACUGCGGUGCUCGAGGACUGGAGAGGAGACUGGAAUUCAUGGUGUAGCAGUGAAAUGCGUAGAGAUCAUGAGGAAUACCGAUGGCGAAGGCAGGUCUCUGGGCUGACACUGACGCUCAUGCACGAAAGCGUGGGGAGCAAACAGG
This 253-nucleotide ribosomal RNA is filed under the name uncultured prokaryote. RNAcentral describes it as "partial 16S ribosomal RNA". It matches the Rfam family "Bacterial small subunit ribosomal RNA", at positions 524 to 776 of the family's 1533-position model. The record is from RNAcentral.